AAGUCGUAACAAGGUUUCCGUAGGUGAACCUGCGGAAGGAUCAUUAAUGAAUAACUUGAUGUGGUUGUAGCUGGCUCUUAGGAGCAUGUGCACGCCCGUCAUCUUAUCUUUCCACCUGUGCACACUAUGUAGAUCUGGAUAACUCUCGCUCUUCGGUGCGGAAACAAGGAUUGCUGCGUCGCAAGGCCGGCUCUCUUUGAAUUUCCAGGUCUAUGUUAUUACAAACUCCAAUUGAAUGAUGAAGAAUGUAGUCAAUGGGCUUCGUGCCUAUAAAACACUAUACAACUUUCAGCAACGGAUCUCUUGGCUCUC
RNAcentral lists this unclassified non-coding RNA (312 nucleotides) under Coprinellus sp. RNAcentral describes it as "partial internal transcribed spacer region". The stretch from base 1 to 46 matches the Rfam family "Eukaryotic small subunit ribosomal RNA", at positions 1786 to 1831 of the family's 1831-position model. Lineage: Eukaryota; Fungi; Basidiomycota; Agaricomycetes; Agaricales; Psathyrellaceae. The record is from RNAcentral.